AUGACAGGCCAUUGAAAAAGCAUUUAAUUAUAUUAUCCAUACAUGCUGGUGUGCUAUGAGCUGAUGGGCAUGUGCCCACUUCUUGCUUAGAUUUUCUCUAAUUUCGACUAAAAUCACACCCCAUCAGAGUACCAUGCCAGGGGAUUUAGACACUGUGUACAAUGAAGAACCAAUUCAAUUCUACUUUAAAUCUGGGGCCAUUCAAUUUCCCUCAGAGGCACAAUAUUUUCGCUGGACACUGUAUAUUUUAACCUGAAUUUCUUCAGUAUUUGCUCCCAUGUAUAUGUUGGGCAUAAUGCUAACACCUCCCUGAUGUAUAGUGGGGUUUUUUUUCAAUACGCACUCUGCUACACUCACAAAGUAUAAUGAAAUAUUCCAUUCAUUUGAUUUCUAGCAUAUGUAUAUAAAACUUAUACGGUACCAAUUUUGAUGCACCAGAUGCGCAUUUCGACAAAUAAUGUCUCUUCAGUGAUGCUCAACCGAAAUGUUUGAAAUCCGAAAUAACUAUGUAUGUAAUCCCUUACCAAAUAGCACUUCAAAUAUAGGACAUAUCUAUCUUUAAAUAAAUAUGAUCAGUACUUUCGUGCGAAACUGUCCCUUACUAUCAUGAAGCUUAUAUUCUGCUUUAAAACACAAACCAAUAAUUCUUAAUUGUAUUUUUUUCAUCUUUAAAAAGGUUAUUGACAUCCCAAUAUUUAGUGGGAAGCUUCCGGGUAUCUUCCACUAGUGACAGUCUACUGGCAAAUCCAGACAUGCAUUGGAAGCAUGUUGAUGUGGAGGACACAGGGACACCUGAUCCAAGAACUGUGGCAUUUCAUUCGGAGUGACAACCUGGCAUGCAGUUGAAGAUUUGGUUUUCUCCAUCUGUGUUGCCACUAACCAUUGUGCUGUGAUGGUCAUAGCUAGGGGGAAGGAUUGUCAUAUGCUUCCCAAGGAAGUACGAAGCCUCUCACUGAAGAGGAACUGUACAGAUUUUUGGGCAUUAUCUUAUACAUGUCUGCUGAGAAGUUCCAGUUGAUAGACAGAUAUUGGUCAACGCAUGCCCCUAUCAGAACAACCUAGUAUCAAAAAUUAUGUCUCGAAAUAUGUUUUAAGAGGUUGAAUAUAAGAAGAACAAUUUUUAUUAAAUAUAAUGCAAGUACAUUUAAAUUUAGUGAUUGAAAGUAAGUACUUGAACAUUCGUAUACAUGAACAAUGACCUUGGGGAGGAAAAACGGGCGUUAUUUUCGCAUAGCAUUUGAUAUCAUAAUGGUGUUGUUGCUUAGCAACCAAAUAUAUUUGAAUAUUUAAAAAAUUAUUUUUUUAGAUUUUAACAGGAAAUAUCUUUCUUUUAAUGUUGCAAUAUUUAUACUAUUUAGUGGGACACAAUGGCAAAACGUCAUAUUAUUAGAAAAUGAUGAAUAUGUAUAUGAAGUACGAAAUUUUCAUUUUAUGACCUUUGACCUUAAUUCUCUUCAUGAUAGUUUUUGUUAAAAACCUUUUAAAAUGAUUAAAAUCUAGUCACAGAUUAUAUUUUUAAAAUAAUGUGACAUUUACUAAUCAUCAUGCAAUGUAAUUAUGUUUGAAUUGUGUCGAAUGGAUGUAGAAA
Molecule: long non-coding RNA, 1588 nt
Organism: Ostrea edulis (European flat oyster)
Lineage: Eukaryota; Metazoa; Mollusca; Bivalvia; Ostreida; Ostreidae
Exons: 3
Source: RefSeq, a predicted model, not a curated record